CAGCAGCCGCGGGAAUACGGAGGGUGCAAGCGUUAAUCGGAAUUACUGGGCGUAAAGCGCACGCAGGCGGUUUGUUAAGUCAGAUGUGAAAUCCCCGAGCUUAACUUGGGAACUGCAUUUGAAACUGGCAAGCUAGAGUCUUGUAGAGGGGGGUAGAAUUCCAGGUGUAGCGGUGAAAUGCGUAGAUAUAGGAAGGAACACCAGUGGCGAAGGCGACCACCUGGACUAAUACUGACACUGAGGUGCGAAAGCGUGGGGAGCAAACAGGAUUAGAUACCCGAGUAGUCCCUGUCUCUUAUAC
This 301-nucleotide ribosomal RNA is filed under the name uncultured bacterium. RNAcentral's name for it is "partial 16S ribosomal RNA". It matches the Rfam family "Bacterial small subunit ribosomal RNA", at positions 509 to 807 of the family's 1533-position model. The record is from RNAcentral.